GUACACCUACGGGGGGCAGCAGUAGGGAAUCUUCCACAAUGGACGAAAGUCUGAUGGAGCAACGCCGCGUGAGUGAAGAAGGGUUUCGGCUCGGAAAGCUCUGUUGGUAGUGAAGAAAGAUAGAGGUAGUAACUGGCCUUUAUUUGACGGUAAUUACUUCGAAAGUCACGGCUAACUACGUGCCAGCAGCCGCGGUAAUACGUAGGUGGCAAGCGUUGUCCGGAUUUAUUGGGCGGUAAGCGAG
RNAcentral lists this ribosomal RNA (244 nucleotides) under uncultured bacterium. Its description in RNAcentral is "partial 16S ribosomal RNA". It matches the Rfam family "Bacterial small subunit ribosomal RNA", at positions 333 to 569 of the family's 1533-position model. The record is from RNAcentral.